AGUGAACGCUGGCGGUAGGCCUAACACAUGCAAGUCGAACGGCAGCACAGUAAGAGCUUGCUCUUACGGGUGGCGAGUGGCGGACGGGUGAGGAAUACAUCGGAAUCUACUUUUUCGUGGGGGAUAACGUAGGGAAACUUACGCUAUUACCGCAUACGACCUACGGGUGAAAGCAGGGGAUCUUCGGACCUUGCGCGAUUGAAUGAGCCGAUGUCGGAUUAGCUAGUUGGCGGGGUAAAGGCCCACCCAGGCGACGAUCCGUAGCUGGUCUGAGAGGAUGAUCAGCCACACUGGAACUGAGACACGGUCCAGACUCCUACGGGAGGCAGCAGUUGGGAAUAUGGGACAAUGGGCGCAAGCCUGAUCCAGCCAUACCGCGUGGGUGAAGAAGGCCUUCGGUUUGUAAAGCCCUUUUGUUGGGAAAGAAAAGCAGCAGGUUAAUACCCCGCUGUUCUGACGGUACCCAAAGAAUAAGCACCGGCUAACUACGUG
This 492-nucleotide ribosomal RNA is filed under the name uncultured bacterium. Its description in RNAcentral is "partial 16S ribosomal RNA". It matches the Rfam family "Bacterial small subunit ribosomal RNA", at positions 29 to 507 of the family's 1533-position model. The record is from RNAcentral.